This 446-nucleotide ribosomal RNA is filed under the name uncultured bacterium. RNAcentral's name for it is "bacterial SSU rRNA". It matches the Rfam family "Bacterial small subunit ribosomal RNA", at positions 354 to 797 of the family's 1533-position model. The record is from RNAcentral.
GUGAGGAAUAUUGGUCAAUGGACGAGAGUCUGAACCAGCCAAGUAGCGUGAAGGAUGACUGCCCUAUGGGUUGUAAACUUCUUUUAUACGGGAAUAAAGUUAGCCACGUGUGGCUUUUUGUAUGUACCGUAUGAAUAAGGAUCGGCUAACUCCGUGCCAGCAGCCGCGGUAAUACGGAGGAUCCGAGCGUUAUCCGGAUUUAUUGGGUUUAAAGGGAGCGUAGGCGGGUUGUUAAGUCAGUUGUGAAAGUUUGCGGCUCAACCGUAAAAUUGCAGUUGAUACUGGCGACCUUGAGUGCAACAGAGGUAGGCGGAAUUCGUGGUGUAGCGGUGAAAUGCUUAGAUAUCACGAAGAACUCCGAUUGCGAAGGCAGCUUACUGGAUUGUAACUGACGCUGAUGCUCGAAAGUGUGGGUAUCAAACAGGAUUAGAAACCCUAGUAGUCCG